This 497-nucleotide ribosomal RNA is filed under the name uncultured bacterium. RNAcentral's name for it is "partial 16S ribosomal RNA". It matches the Rfam family "Bacterial small subunit ribosomal RNA", at positions 28 to 507 of the family's 1533-position model. The record is from RNAcentral.
GAUGAACGCUGGCGGCGUGCCUAAUACAUGCAAGUCGAGCGAACAGACGAGGAGCUUGCUCCUCUGACGUUAGCAGCGGACGGGUGAGUAACACGUGGAUAACCUACCUAUAAGACUGGGAUAACUUCGGGAAACCGGAGCUAAUACCGGAUAAUAUAUUGAACCGCAUGGUUCAAUAGUGAAAGACGGUUUUGCUGUCACUUAUAGAUGGAUCCGCGCCGCAUUAGCUAGUUGGUAAGGUAACAGCUUACCAAGGCAACGAUGCGUAGCCGACCUGAGAGGGUGAUCGGCCACACUGGAACUGAGACACGGUCCAGACUCCUACGGGAGGCAGCAGUAGGGAAUCUUCCGCAAUGGGCGAAAGCCUGACGGAGCAACGCCGCGUGAGUGAUGAAGGUCUUCGGAUCGUAAAACUCUGUUAUUAGGGAAGAACAAAUGUGUAAGUAACUAUGCACGUCUUGACGGUACCUAAUCAGAAAGCCACGGCUAACUACGUG